GACGAACGCUGGCGGCGUGCUUAACACAUGCAAGUCGAACGAUGAAGAAGAGAAACGCGAACUUCGGUUCAAAUUUCACUUCGGAUUAGUGGCAGACGGGUGAGUAACGCGUGAGCAACCUACCUCUUACAAAGGGAUAGCCUCGGGAAACCGUGAUUAAUACCAUAUGACACAUUCAUAAGGCAUCUUAAGAAUGUUAAAGCUACGGCGGUAAGAGAUGGGCUCGCGUCCCAUUAGCUAGUUGGCGAGGUAACGGCCCACCAAGGCGACGAUGGGUAACCGGCCUGAGAGGGUGAACGGUCACAUUGGAACUGAGACACGGUCCAAACUCCUACGGGAGGCAGCAGUGGGGAAUAUUGCACAAUGGAGGGAACUCUGAUGCAGCGACGCCGCGUGAGCGAUGAAGGAAUUCGUUUCGUAAAGCUCUGUUCUAUGGGAAGAAAAGGACUGUACCAUAGGAGAAAGCCCCGGCUAAAUACGUG
Molecule: ribosomal RNA, 482 nt
Filed under: uncultured bacterium
Lineage: Bacteria
Description: partial 16S ribosomal RNA
Rfam family: Bacterial small subunit ribosomal RNA
Source: RNAcentral